AGGUAGCUCAAUGGCGGAGCACUCGGCUGUUAACCGAUAGGCUGUGGGUUCGAGUCCCACCCU
Molecule: transfer RNA, 63 nt
Filed under: bovine gut metagenome
Rfam family: tRNA
About the family: Transfer RNA (tRNA) molecules are approximately 80 nucleotides in length.
Source: RNAcentral